Long non-coding RNA from Drosophila obscura, 2105 nucleotides. RefSeq lists it as uncharacterized. NCBI's taxonomy places the organism in Eukaryota, Metazoa, Arthropoda, Insecta, Diptera, Drosophilidae. The record is from RefSeq and is a predicted model, not a curated record. The transcript is spliced from 5 exons.
AGCCUAUAAAAUACGAAGACAUGGUUGUAAACACAUCGACUGGUGGCAUAUAAUUUUUACAAUGGACAAGUUCCUAAAAGGUUUCAAUGGACAUCAGCAAGGAAAAUGCGAGAAAAAAAAGCAUUGUGGUCCAAGAAGAAGAAUGAGCAGUUUGGCAGACCAACAAUGCGGAAACUUGGCUGAAGUAUAGUGUGGGAUUGUUUCGAGAAAAGUGAGGAUGGGAAAAAAGCAAAAUGUCGCUUUUGUCAGAGAUCUUACAAAACCAGGGGCAACACCUCGACUCUUCUCGAUCAUCUGAAGCGCGCUCACCCCUCUUACAGCGAUUUAAUAAAUAACAACGAAAAAAUGUUGGACCGUGCUUUAAUGCAAAUGAUUUCUCUCGACGUGCAACCAUUUUCAAUCGUUGAGGACGCCGGAUUUCGCAAUUUGUUCUAUCGUCUGGACUCACCAUAUAUAUUACCGUCGCGGAAUACGAUGCAGAACGUGCAUAUGAAAAGUCUGUAUACGGAGUUAGUCGAAAAACUACAGAAUAUUUUAUGCAAAGUAGAUAGCUGCGCCGUAACAAUGGAUUGCUGGACAUCGAGGGCCAACCAUGGGUACUUGACUGUAACCAUCCAUUUUAUUGACGAAAAAAUCGAUCUUCAAAGUGCGGUGUUGUCAACCGAAAAGCUCGAAGAUCCCUCUAAUUAUUCAUCAGAAAACAUUGCCAGAUCCUUGCGCAAGGUUCUAUGUAACUGUUUUUUAGAUGGCAAAGUUUUGGCCAUAGUAACUUACAAUGCGAGAUCCAUGAUAAAGGCAUUUGAGAUUCUUGAAAAACGACACCCUGCUAUGCCCACUGCUUGAAUUUAGUGGUGCAAGACUGCUUGGCCCAAGAAUAUUUGAAACCACUACUAGUGAAGUGCAAGCGAAUUUUUACAUUUUUUAAAAGUAGCACGAUUGCCUACGAAAAGUUCAAGGAGGCUCAAGGUGCGGGCAGAGUUUACAGUCUCAUACAAGAAGUUUGUACUCGCUGGAAUAGCGACGAAAAAUCAUAUAUCGCCCGUACUGCCCCAUUUGAUUAUGUGACAACUCAGUGCUCGUCUAGUAGCAAAAUAACAACUUCAUCUAUAAUUCCUUUAUCAAACGGCCUGGUUCAAAUUCUCAUUGAGCAAUACGACAAUCUAGAGACAAAUGUUGGCAAGCAGGUCUGCUUAUUUUUGCACGAAAACGCAACUAGACUUGCCAUCACUUGCAUCCACGAUACAAAAAAGAAGGAUUUCGUUUGCAGAUCAAUGCUGAUCAAGGCGCCGUUUUGCUGGAAAACAUGUUGACUAAUUACAACGGAGAAAAACUUGAAGAACCGGAAGCAGAACAGCCAGUACAAGUCUCACACGAGAAAACACUGCGUAGGUUUUAUAAAAACCAAAAUAGAAAAGAAACAAUAAAGUCGACGCAAUAGUCGUUCUUCGACAAUAUUUUGAAAAAAUGAACACCGGAAAUGAUUGCAGCCCAUUAGAGUAUUAGAAGAUGCUGUCGAACUGACCGAACAAUUUCCAGAAGUGACACGCCCAGACAGUACCAAGGUUGAAGCUCUGCUAGAUUCUGUCGAACUGACCGAACAAUGUCCUCAAGACCCCCGUUAUCUACCGAGACCCCUGUUUAUGAUAUAAGAAAAUUAUCAAUUCCCAUUUCUCAACAAAGAAAGAGCAAGCAACAUUUCUGUAUGUAUUGUAAAAAGCUUCAAACAAAAUUUGCAAGACAUCUGCAAGUAAUGCAUAAAAAUGAAAAGGAGGUUAAAAAAAUGUUGCUUUUCCGAAGCUUCACGCAGAAAGAAAAAAAUUGAUCAAAAAAUCCGAAAAGCUGGUGACUAUCUGCAUAACACAGAUCAAGCAUUCAACAGUGGCACUUUAAUAUUAACUCGUCAAAAAAGAGCUAAUUCGGGAAACACUGCAAAUCAUGUCGCGGAUUUUUCCAAAGUCUACCAUUCGCUGUCACGCCAAAAACUGUAAUCUAAAAACCGCCCGUAAUAUAUUAAGGGAUGGCCGCGUUAUGACUGGAUUUAUGCACGAAGCAGCAAAAGACAUUCUGCGCAAGAAAGUUAUGCCAGUGCUAAGAGACGGUUUGGU